Molecule: long non-coding RNA, 4000 nt
Organism: Cuculus canorus (common cuckoo)
Lineage: Eukaryota; Metazoa; Chordata; Aves; Cuculiformes; Cuculidae
Exons: 3
Source: RefSeq, a predicted model, not a curated record
UGCUGAAGCAGCAAGAGAGAAUUCUUCAGGGAAACGAUAGGAUGUUUUGAUUAAACCAGUUGAAGAACAAAUGUCUCUUGCUAAGGAAGGUUGAGGGGAAUUGUUUCAGCUCAGUGUUCUUCUCCCUCCUCCCUUCGGCUUCUGCUAAAAAUCUGGAGGUUGCUCGAAGUGAUGGGGAAGUCAUACUGCAAUAUAUGGACAGACAGAGAUAACAUGGAGAUGUGUUUUUUCAAAAAGAACUGCGGAAGACAUGAAGAAGUGUGGAUGGAAACGUGGGAAAACCAUGACCCAAGGGCACGAACAGCAUGUGGACAGGGUUCAGCUUUUCAUCUGUCCCUCUCUGCAGAUGUAUAUUCUCUCCAUGUGUAGUGCUCCAAAAGAUCUGCACAAGAUUUUUUGUUCCAAUUGUUUAUAGAAACAGACAAGAGCUGUGGAGAACCUCUCCUCUGAAAGAAUGGCAUCAUGAAGCAUCAUCAUGAAGCAUCUUCAUUACUUUUAAACACUCAGUAUAAUCCUCACCAGAAUCUCCUGACUCAUCCUUGAAAGACUCUCUGCGUUGUUAGUGUACUUCAGUCUAAUUUAUUAUGUAAUUACAUGCCUACACAUAAAGUAUACCUGUAUUUAGCUGUGAUUCAGCAGUGAUGUAGACUUUGUAAAGUCAUAAAGACUGUAAAGUCAUAGAAAUACUACUUUUUACCUAAGAAAUAUAUACCAAAGUUACCCAUUGUCUGUUCAAGAUUGACAGUAGUGAUUUUAAGAGCGUCCCCAUUGCUUUCUGUAUCAUUUAUUUGUGAACAUGAACAUUUUUAAAAUACGAACAGUAACUAACUGUUCACUACUAGAGAAAUAUUAAUGAAAUACUCUGCAUUAAUGGGGUAAUAAAUUUACCCUUCAGGAUUUUUUUCAUUAUUCCUACCUAUCUACUUAAUAUUUUUUAAAUGCGUUUUAGUUGAAGGCUGCUCAUAAAUAUUUCCAAGUAAUACUUCAAUGUUGAGCUGCCUCGGAUACCUAAACAAAAAGGAAACCAGAAGAAUACAAGGGUUUUGACUUCAUAUGAUUACAUUUUUAACUACUUCUGUAAAUAAAAAAUAACAUAUAAAUGUACAGUAUCUAAGAUACAACUACACCUGAGUGUGUGCUUUCCCUAAAGUAUCCAUCUAGGAAAAAUUCAGUGCUAUAGGAAGGCAGUUAAUGGCGUACAAAAAUAAACUGAUGGUAGAAGAAAGAACUUACAAUGCAAAAAUGACAUGUAUAAUUGGCUGCUUGAAAAUAAGUGUCUGAAUCAAAUCUUACACUUUUUAAAAGAAGUAAUGAAAAUCCAAUGUUAAUCUUGCUAUAAAAACUGAGUAUGUAUUUCCUUGGAUAAUGGAGAAAUAUCCUGGGAUUCUUCUUGAGUUUAAAAAGCAAUGAUACAAAAGAAUAACUUUAUAUGCAGUGCUUUUAGCUGCCAGAGAUCAAGAUGGGAGCACUAAAAUUGUCAGAGCUCACAGGUACUAUCUUAUGAAAGAAAGGUUAUUUUUCAUUUCAAGUUCUGAGUCAUCUAGUGCAAGUUCAAAGAAUGAAAUUCAAUGUUCUUAAAGCACGUUCUAGGAAAUGCUGACAUUGCAUUGUAAUUUCCCAUCAAACUUCAGAUUAAUUAUGUCAAAAUCAUAUUUAGAAUCUAUUACUUUAAGGAAACCACAUGUUUAUAAAAUAAGAUUCAAGGUGCAAACCCUGCUACAAAUAUAGUUAGUGAAGAUGAAUCUGAUGGCUGAAUUUUUGUGACCUUUUUGCUAAUGUUUAUUCUUACUUACAGUUAUUUACUCCAGACAUGUUGGAAAGAGUAAAACAUAUCAUGCUGAUAAAGGCUGAAGCCUCAUUGCUGCCUCUGCAUUUUGAUGGAAAUCAAGAACUUGGCAAGGAAAGAUUCAACCAAACCCUCAGUAGCUGCUCCCCUGAUUUAAGUAUUAGUGUUGGUCAUAAGGCACAACACUGUGUUCAAAAAGGAGUCUACCUUGGCAUGAGAUGCCUGGGGUUUUUCUGCUCUCUUUGGUCUGAAGUUAAUCACAAUCUCUGUUUAAAUGCUACUAUUUUUCAUAAUACAUUGUGAAAAUGAGGGGGUUACAGCUUCCGGAAACCUUGACUAAGUGCUUUCUGGGCUUUUAAAGAUAAGAAUUUUCUCUGAAUUCAUGUGUGCUUUAGGCCACACUGGGGACCUUACAGCGUUCUGGCUUGGGGUAUUGUGACACCAUCCCAUGUGUAAAGGCAAGAGAAACAGUUCCCUGAAAUGGAAUCCAGACAGGGUGAACUGUCAGCUCCAAGAGGAACUUAUUUUUAAGGUUCUGAACUUAAGAGGCAUCUGCUCUUUUCAAACAAAACUCUCCAGCUUGUUUUGGGGUGCUUGUUCUGUGACUGUCUACACUGAAUAAAUGUCAGACCAUUCUUUUCCCACACAACCACCUCUAGAGUUUGAAGUGAAAGCAGAAUCAGCUUUCCUCCACCAGCUGAGCAGAUGAAUUUUGAACAGUAUUAAUUAAUUAGCAGAUUCCACUCUGCUAUUCACAUGACAUAGCUAUUGUUCAGGUCUUUCCUGAUCCAAUGAACAUAGAUUCUACCUAAUGAACAAAAAUAAAGCCAUUGCUCCUAAAAUUGAAUAACUUUUCCUAAGGCAAUAUCAUUAUUACAUGCAGCUGUGCAAAAUAAUUUCUCUUAACAAGAUGUAUUUGUGUGGCAAGGUUUUAGUAGCAGGAGGGCUGCAAGGUGACUUCUGUGAGAAGCUGCUAGAAGCUUCCACUGUGUCGAAUAGAGCUAAUGCCAGCCAGCUCCAAAACAGACCCACUGCUGGCCAAGGCUCUCUAUCAGCCUCGGUAAUUCAUGAUAAUGAUUUUGCAAUAACAUAUUUAAGAAGGAGGCUGCUGGGAUAGGGGACCAGUGUGCAAGGGGAGAGUGAUAAUGUGAGAGAAGGAGGAAGGAACGGCAGAAACAACAUGUGACAAACUGACUGCAACUGUCAUCCCUGUUCCCCUGCUAGAGGGGAGGAAGUAGAGAAAAUCAGGAAAGUUCAGGAAGAAUGGAGGUGUGGGUGGAAGUUUUUUUAUGAGAUUUGGUUUUAUUUCUAAUUAUUCUGCUCUGAUUUGAUUUGUAAUAAAUUAACUCAAUUCCUCCAAGUCAAGUCUGUUUUGCCUGUGAUGGUAAUUGUUGAGUGAUUUCUCCCUGUCCCUGUCUCGACAUGUGAGCCUUUUUUUUUCUCUCCCCUGUUCAGCAGAGGAGGGGGAGUGUAAGAGCACCUUAGUUGUUCAGCUGACAUCCAGCCAGGGUCAACCCACCACACAAGAACUACUAGAAAGUUUAGUCUUUUGCUAACUGUGACAUUAUGUUGUAAACUGUAUAAUUUUCUGGAAGAAAGUUGGGAAAGUACAUACCGUGUUUCUUGUAAUGCUGCACCAUCCCUAAUUUUAGUAAAAAGUUGUCUGAGAGCCCUGAAGAUAGAAAACUUCUGUUUGAUUUUACUUGUUGUUUGUUUUUAUUGAACAAUACAUAGCAUACACAGAGUAUCCUGUUAGUUAAGCUAGAACUGUGGUAGAGAACACGACACUUUAUUCUUGAUGAAAAGAGAAACUAGGCUGGGUCAUCUACUUACAGCAAACAUCAUACCUACCUGACUCACUUAUCUUGCAGGAAUCACUCAACAAGUGUCUUAUAUAAACUGUAUCCCAGUACAGGGUGAGCUGAAGUUUCUAUUCUAAGAGGCUACUGAAAUUACAAAAUAAAGAAUGACGGGCUUAAAUAUGAAAAGCUUUCAGCACCUUAAAAUUUGUACUUCUAGUCAAAUUUUGAGAAGUCAAUAAUUUUCAAGUAAUCAGCACAAUAUUUAAUGUGUUCAUAACAUUUUAAUAAUUUUCUCAAAGUAUUAAGAAUAGCCAUCUUAAAAGUUGAACAUAAAACCUUCAACAAGAAGACUGCGUGUUAGAAAAUGGAUCUCAGCAUUAUUUUUGUAGUCUAUGAUACCAUAAAAAAUCAC